Molecule: unclassified non-coding RNA, 305 nt
Filed under: plant metagenome
Description: partial contains 5.8S ribosomal RNA, internal transcribed spacer 2, and large subunit ribosomal RNA
Rfam family: 5.8S ribosomal RNA (bases 1-105)
Source: RNAcentral
GAAAUGCGAUAAGUAGUGUGAAUUGCAGAAUUCAGUGAAUCAUCGAAUCUUUGAACGCUCAUUGCGCCCUUUGGUAUUCCUUGGGGCAUGCCUGUUCGAGCGUCAUCUAAACCUUCAAGCCCUGCUUGGUGUUGGGUGCCUGUCCCGCCUCCGCGCGCGGACUCACCUCAAAUCCAUUGGCGGCCCCCGCGUCGGCCACGAGCGCAGCAGAAACGCGAACUCGUGAGCCCGUCCGGGCGGCUCCCAGAAGCUACACCCACCCAGUUUGACCUCGGAUCAGGUAGGGAUACCCGCUGAACUUAAGC